UUUUUUAUUUUUUAUUUUUUUUAAAUGAUGGGCAGUUUCCAGUUCUUGCAAAAUGAUACUUUUGACUCCUUAACAAUUGAAUUCUAUCACUUAAAGAGCUUCCAAAUAUGAGAAUCAAGCAAGUAGAAUUGAAUUCUUGCAUUUUAAAGCUUUUUAAAAAUUCUGCCUUUUUCCUUAGAUUUUGCAAACAAAUUUCUAUUGCAUUCAGAUAUGAGAUUUUGUUUUUGUCCCUUCAAGGCCUUUUAGUUGUUGUGUGUCAAAUAGCUUAUAGCUGAUUUGCUUGUUUGACAUAUUGAAAGAAAGGAAAGAUAGCCAGGAAGGUUUGGAGAUAAAAUGAGAGAGGGCCAUUUAAGAUGGUUUGGUCAUGUACAAUGCAGAGAAUCAAAUGCCUUUGCAUCAUAGUUAAUUAUAGUUGCUGUUUCUACUAUAGAGCAUAGUUAUCAAAGGCUCAAGG
RNAcentral lists this unclassified non-coding RNA (454 nucleotides) under Hevea brasiliensis (rubber tree). The record is from RNAcentral. Lineage: Eukaryota; Viridiplantae; Streptophyta; Magnoliopsida; Malpighiales; Euphorbiaceae.